AUGUUACAGUAAUGUUACAGUAAUAGUAACAGUAAUAAUCGGUUAACAUGGGUCACACCAGCACCGCUUAACGGGUUUUUGAGUUUCGAUCCUCACUCGCUCCUUUCUCUCUCUCUCGCGCGCGCGCUCUCUUUUUUCUUUCCAUCUCACUUUCUCUGCGCAUUUUCCUUUCGGAAUCGGAGCUGAAUCUGAAUCUGAAUCUCGUCGAACUCGAAUUGUGUUGACGGAUCCACGCGCGGCUGUAGAAGGGGGAGACGGCGGCGGAUCUGACCGGAGAUGGCGUUCUCCGGCAUAAGAGGUCUCUCCGUCUUCAUCGGCGACAUCCGCAAUUGCCAGAACAGUGAACAGGAGACGCUCCGCGUCGACAAGGAACUCGGAACAUCCGAACGCGCUUCAAAACCGAGAAGGUUAGGGUUUCUCUCUCGCAUUCGCGAAUCGUGCGUUUGAUCUUUCCCGCAAUGUGCGACGCUGGAAUGGAAUUUGAGUUUCCGAGUUUGUGCGGUCCAUGUGCGUCGUCGUUCGCGCUCGAAAUUGUUGUUGGAGCUUGUUUUUCAAUGUUCGAAACAUGUAUGUGUGCGAGACUUGAAUAGGAAAGUCACUGUUCGGUGAACAAUCACGUGGCUUGACACCAUAUGAGAAAAAGAACAUGCGUGGAAAAUGCUUUACGUAUUUAUGCUUGGCUCUGAUGUGGAUUUUGGUCACAUGGAAGCUGUUUCUCUAAUAUCUGCUCCUAAGCAUCCAGAAAAGCAGGUUGGGUACAUAGGCACUUCAUCUUUGAUCAAUGAAAAUCACGACUUUCUGAGAUUGGCAAUAAAUACAGGGUGCAUAGUUAUCAUUGGUCGCAAUGAAAUGUUCCAGUGCCUGGCAUUGACCAUGUUCACAAUUGUACAUCCUAGGGGAAUGUGAUUCACAUCGAGGGGUCUGUAAGGGGCUGCAACUGGAUCCCUAUAUGCCAUAGUACCUGCUGAGAGCAGGCCAUUUAUGUGCAGGUUUUUUCAUUGAUUUAGGAUCCAUUUGAUUUAAAUUUUGGUAGAAUUGAAUUUGAAAAAAUUGAUUUGUAUUUAUGUAUGAUGUUUAAAACUGAAUUGAGAAAAAUUGAUUUUUGAUUGGUAAAGUAGAUAUGCUUUUGGAAUAUAAAUAAGAUAAUCCAAAAUCACACCCAGAAUUCUACCCACUGCAGAAUUGAUUUUCUCUACCACAAAAAUUAGCCAAACAAGCAUGGGGUACUGUACAAACUACAAAAGCAAUUUCCGCAUCACCAAUGGCUGUUUGGUGGCUAUUAACUAAACUAGCACUUAAGUAGCAAAAUAACAACUAGGAAGUUUCUGGCUUUACCCAUUGUAUCCCUAUCAGCCAUGGAAGGUUCCAUUCCAUUCAAUUUUGUAGAUUAGUAGUCACUAGGGCCAUAUAUUUAUGUAUCACUUUCAUUUUCUUCCGCACAAAUAAUUAAGAUUCAGGAUGGACCACAUUGUUAAUUUUUAUGCCAAAACUUCUGUACUUGAUUUAGUGUCUUCCCUUAUAGACUCCAUUUCUCCAUUCAACACAAAUUUUAUGUAUUGAAAAAUAACAAAUUUCACGUUUUGGAUGUCUGGCCAUUAGAGAUAUUGCUGAAAGGUUUCGUUCUUUGUGCUGAAGGAUAGUGGUGUUCUAUAUGAGGAUCCUCACGUUCAGGUUUUUUCUUCAUUUUUCUCCAAUAUUAUUGAAGCUUGGGUAGUUUUUAUUAUGAUUUAUACUGUAUAUGUGUAUAGUUUACAUAGAGAGUUCUCUACUAUUGACCUUUUAAGUUAGGUUCGAGCUUAUAGUUGAUUUCUGGUGUUAGCUUUUUGUAUAUUUAUGCAUUUACAACAGAUUGGAGUUUAAAGCAGAGUGUAGAGCUUAUCAUGGGUGUCUGGUUCUUUUCUUGGGGAACAAGAAUACUUCUCCCUUUGUCCCUUGUUCACACUUUAAUAUUGCCUACUACUCAUUUGAAGAUGGAGCUCUCACUAGUACAACAAGGUCAGAAACCAUUGGUACUGUGAACUAUUGCUUUCUAUUUUAAUUUUUUUUUCCCUCUUUUGGUUCCAUAGGUGCAAUGCCCACUUGAAAUCAUUAAUCUCCAUCCAAGCAGGGAUGUGGCUGUUCUUGACUUCUCCGACAUGGUUGAUAACAAUAUGGCAACAAUUGUGAACCUGUGGAUUCACCAUUUGACCGCAUGAACAUCUGUGUCCUUUCAUACAUCAAUACCAAACUUCCAGCUGGUCCUAAACAAGUUUCAACUACACAUGUAUCUGCUGAAGAGUUUUUCCCUCAAUGAAGAUCACUUUCUGGACCACCUUUGAAGCUCCAAGUGGUUGAAAGAGUUCAUCAAGGAGCUAGUAGUCGACAUCCACACACAGCUACGCAAAAGCCUCAAAAACUACAAAUGUUAGUUAACAAUUGCGAAUUUAUGGGUGUGGAAGGAAUGACGGAAUGGAUGGUGAGUAGAGUUUGAAAUUUAUGGGCCGAUCGAUUUUCUGCGCAAAGUGGUGCCCCUUAACUCCAAUUUAAUAUCAUUUGGCGAGGGUUCAAUUUUCUUAUAAUUUUACCCUUACCUCUUACUGGAUCAUUCGUUGUUGCUCUUGAAAAAGUCUCGUAUAGAGAAAAUUGUAAACAAUAAUAAAUGGGGGAGUGUUGUACAUA
Molecule: non-coding RNA, 2658 nt
Organism: Cajanus cajan (pigeon pea)
Lineage: Eukaryota; Viridiplantae; Streptophyta; Magnoliopsida; Fabales; Fabaceae
Source: RefSeq, a predicted model, not a curated record